This is a long non-coding RNA of Tachyglossus aculeatus (Australian echidna), 240 nucleotides long. RefSeq lists it as uncharacterized. The transcript has 3 exons. NCBI's taxonomy places the organism in Eukaryota, Metazoa, Chordata, Mammalia, Monotremata, Tachyglossidae. The record is from RefSeq and is a predicted model, not a curated record.
CAGGAUGGCUCGUACUUGGCAGAGUUCCUGUUGGAAAAGGGCUAUGAGGUCCAUGGAAUUGUACGUCGAUCCAGUUCAUUCAACACAGGCCGAAUUGAGCACCUGUAUAAGAACCCGCAAACUCACAUGGAAGGAAAUAUGAAGCUGCACUAUGGAGACCUCACUGACAGUACCUGCCUGGUGAAAAUAAUCAAUGAAGUAAAACCUUCAGAAAUUUACAACCUAGGAGCCCAAAGCCAU